GGGGGGGGGGGGGGGGGGGGGGGGGGGAGGCGGGGCGGGGGGGAGGGCCCUGCUUGCGGGGUGGUCGAGGGGCGAACGUGGGCGUAACACGUGGGUGAGCUGCCCCUUGCUGUGGGCUAAGCCUGGGAAACUGGGUCUAGUACUGGAUAGGACCCUGCUGUAGGUUGUGUGGUGGACAGAUUUUUUCGGUAAGGGAUGAGCUCGCGUCCUAUCAGCUUGUUGGUGUGGUAAUGUCCUACCAAGGCGUCGACGGGUAGCCGGCCGGAGAGGGUGGACGGCCACAUUGGGACUGAGAUACGGCCCAGACUCCUACGGGAGGCAGCAGUGGGGAAUAGUGCACAAUGGGCGCAAGCCUGAUGCAGCGACGCCGCGUGGGGGAUGACGGCCUUCGGGUUGUAAACUCCUUUCAGCCAUGACGAAGCCUCUUUUGGGGUGACGGUAGUGGUAGAAGAAGCACCGGCGAACUACGUG
RNAcentral lists this ribosomal RNA (471 nucleotides) under uncultured bacterium. RNAcentral's name for it is "partial 16S ribosomal RNA". It matches the Rfam family "Bacterial small subunit ribosomal RNA", at positions 39 to 507 of the family's 1533-position model. The record is from RNAcentral.